UACGAAGGGGGCUAGCGUUGCUCGGAAUCACUGGGCGUAAAGCGCACGUAGGCGGCUUUUUAAGUCAGGGGUGAAAUCCUGGAGCUCAACUCCAGAACUGCCUUUGAUACUGGGAAGCUUGAGUCCGGAAGAGGUGAGUGGAACUCCGAGUGUAGAGGUGAAAUUCGUAGAUAUUCGGAAGAACACCAGUGGCGAAGGCGGCUCACUGGUCCGGUACUGACGCUGAUGUGCGAAAGCGUGGGGAGCAAACAGG
This 253-nucleotide ribosomal RNA is filed under the name uncultured bacterium. Its description in RNAcentral is "partial 16S ribosomal RNA". It matches the Rfam family "Bacterial small subunit ribosomal RNA", at positions 524 to 776 of the family's 1533-position model. The record is from RNAcentral.